GAUGGUCUGCGCCUAUCAGUUGUAAGGGGGUGUAAAGGACCCCCUAGCCAUGAACGCGAACAGGUUGUGGGAGCAAUCGCCCGGAGAUGGAUUCUGAGACACGAAUCCAGACCCUACGGGGUGCAGCAGGCGCGAAAACUUCACACUGCAGGAAACUGUGAUGAGGGAACUCCAAGUGCAUGCACAAUGUGUAUGCUUUUCCUAACUUUUAAUCGGUUAGGGAAUAAGGGCUGGGAAAGACCGGUGCCAGCCGCCGCGGUAAUACCGGCAGCUCAAGUGGUCGUCGCUUUUAUUGGGCCUAAAACGUCCGUAGCCUGUUUGGUAAAUCUGUGGGUAAAUCAACCAGCUUAACUGGUUGAAUUCUGCAGAGACUGCCAGACUAGGGACCGGGAGAGGUGUGGGGUACUCUCGGGGUAGGGGUAAAAUCCUGUCAUCCUGGGAGGACCACCAGUUGCGAAGGCGCCACACUGGAACGGAUCCGACGGUCAGGGACGAAGCCUAGGGGCACGAACCGGAUUAGAUACCCGGGUAGUCCUAGGAGUAAACGCUGUGAACUUGGUGUCGGGGAUCCUACUUGGGUUCCCGGUGCCGGAGUGAAGAUGUUAAGUUCACUGCCUGGGGAGUACGGUCGCAAGGCUGAAACUCAAAUGAAUUGACGG
This 659-nucleotide ribosomal RNA is filed under the name uncultured marine euryarchaeote. RNAcentral describes it as "bacterial SSU rRNA". It matches the Rfam family "Archaeal small subunit ribosomal RNA", at positions 208 to 871 of the family's 1478-position model. The record is from RNAcentral. Lineage: Archaea; Methanobacteriati; Methanobacteriota.